UUGACCUCGAAUCAGGUAGGGAUACCCGCUGAACUUAAGCAUAUCAAUAAGCGGAGG
Molecule: ribosomal RNA, 57 nt
Filed under: Golovinomyces sordidus
Lineage: Eukaryota; Fungi; Ascomycota; Leotiomycetes; Helotiales; Erysiphaceae
Also listed under: 7 other names
Description: partial 28S ribosomal RNA
Rfam family: Eukaryotic large subunit ribosomal RNA
Source: RNAcentral